CGAGAGGGGUGGGAUAGGGAGGAUGGGAGGGAGGCUCAAGAGGGAGGGGAUAUGGGGGUAUAUGUAUACAUAUGGCUGAUUCACUUUGUUGUACAACAGAAACUAACACAGUAUUGUGAAGCAAAUAUACUCCAAUAAAGAUAUAUUAAAAUAAACAGGGCUUCCCUGGUGGCGCAGUGGUUGAGAGUCCACCAGCAGAUGCAGGGGACACGGGUUCGUGCCCCGGUCCAGGAAGAUCCCACAUGCCGUGGAGCGGCUAGGCCUGUGAGCCAUGGCCGCUGAUCCUGUGCGUCAAGAGCCUGUGCUCCACAACGGAAGAGGCCACAACAGUGAGAGGCCCGAGUACCGCAAAAACAAAACAAACAAAAAAAAACAACUUUGUCCCAGUAGCUCUAAGUGGAUGGAGGUCAAAAUUAGAAUCCCAAAGUACACUGGCUUCUGCUGUUCCUCUUGCUGGAUCCUGAAUCUCCUAGUAAAUAUGAUGUUGCUAUAAAGGUGCAUGGCCUAAGCAACACCAAAAAUGUAAGUUUGGGAAAAGUAUAUGAAUACUGUUCUGAGCCUACUCCAGACAAACUUACAAGCUCACUUCUGGCAAGGAUAAUAUUUUUCAUUGACUGUGUUUUUGUGUCUCAUGGUCUGGGCUAGUGGCUCCACGAUCCUUGUCCUGCACAGACACAAGCAGCAAGUCCAACACAUUCACAGCAACAGCCUCUCCCUGAGACCAUCCCACGAGGCCAGAGCCACAGGCACCAUCCCGAUCUUGGUGAGCUUCUUUGUUUUACUUUAUUCUCUUUCUUCCAUUUUGACUUUCUGUGUAGUCUUAAGUGUGAAUCCAGCCCAAUGGCUGGUGAACACAUGUGUGUUCGUGGCUUUAUGUUUCCCGACUCUCAGCCCCUUCGUGCUCAUCACCCAUGACACGCGUGUCUCUAAGUUACGCUUUGCGAAGAUUGCUUUUUUCUUCAUGGGGUGUAAUAUGUCCUCUACAGGGCACUAAAUUACCCUUUUCCUUCUUUAUUCACAUGCAAAUGUCUACCAAGUGCCAGUUCUCUGAGGUAGCACUGCUCAGUUUGUGGGAUCUUAGUUCCCCAACCAGGGAUCGAACCCAUGCCCCCAGAAUGGAAGCACAGUCCUAAUCACUGGACUGGCAGGGAAGUCCCAUCUCCAAGGCAGUUUUUUUUUUUUUCUUUUAAAUUAAUUAAUUAAUUAAUUUUUGGCUGUGUUGGGUCUUCGUUUCUAUGCCAGGGAUUUCUCUAGUUGCAGCAAGCGGGGGCCACUCUUCAUCACCGUGCAUGGGCCUCUCACUAUCGCGGAGCACAGGCUCCAGACGCACAGGCUCAGUAGUUGUGGCUCAUGGGCCUAGUUGUUCUGCAGCAUGUGGGAUCUUCCCAGACCAGGGCUCGAACCCAUGUCCCCUGCAUUGGCAGGCAGAUUCUCAACCACUGCUCCACUAGGGAAGCCCCUGAGGCAGUUUUGAUUAAGGUAAUGUAUUAAAAAUGGAAUUAUAAAAAAACAACAACAAAAAACAGAAACUGCCCUAUUAGAUUUAGCCAAAUCGGGACCUAUAGGUAAAUAGUUAUACAAAGACCGUGAACGUAGUUUUACCACGUCCUUCAGAAAUGGCUGAGGAUAUUUAGAAAUAGUAUAAAACUUCCCUGGUGGCACAGUGGAUAAGAAUCUGCCUGCCAUUGCAGGGGACACAGGUUUGAGCCCUGGUCUGGGAAGAUCCCACAUGCCACGGAGCAACUAAGCCUGCCAGCCACAACUACUGAAGCCCAUGUGCCUAGGGCCCAUGCUCCGCAAAAAGAGAAGCCACUGUAAUGAGAAGUCCGCGCACCGCAACAAAGAAUAGCACGCCCCCCUGCCCCACCGCACCUAGAGAAAGCCUGCACGCAGCAACGAAGACCCAACGCAGCCUAAAUAAAUAAAAACAGAGAUAGUAUCCCUUGUCAGGGAACUAAGAUCCCACAUGCCCAUGCAGUGUGGGCCUCCCCCACCAAAAAAUUUUAAAAAAAAGUAUUUCAAUUUAAGAUUUUAUUUUACGUAAGAUACUCAGGGAUUUUAUGGCACUAUUUUUUUUUUUUUUUGGCUUUUCUAUAUUACCACUGGAAUUACAUUUCAUUUUUCUUUUUAAGUUUCUUUACUCAGUUUUAUUCUCCUGUGGAUAUAUAGGGGAGUCUUCCAAAGACUUCAUGGGAUAUUCACAAUUAACUGUGUGAGGCUGGAAUUCCUCUUUGUAUUUCAAACAAAACAUCCUAUUGUAUCAGAUUGAAUGCAGAGGCAAUAUAUUUCAUUUCUUGAGAAUGUAUAUACACACACAUGUAUAUACAAUUGUGCACCAAAUUUUUCCACUAUAAAGCUUGCUCACACUAUUUUGGGUUUACCUUUUCCAUUUUUUUUAAUAGAAAUUCAUAUAUUCCCUAAUAUUCUUUUUUUAAAAAUUGAAGAAUAGUUGAUUUACAGUGUUGUGUUAGUUUCAGGUGUGUAGCAAAGUGAUUCAGUUACACAUACAUGUUAAUAUGUAUCUUUUUUUUAAAUUCCUUUUUCUUAUAGGUUAUUACAAAAUAUUGAGUAUAUAGUUUCCUGUGCUAUACAGUAGGUCCUGGUUGUUUAUCUCUAAUAUUCUUUUUGCCUGUGAAUACACAGUAGACAAAGAAGAAUCCUUAAUUCUCCCAUUACUUCAAAUCUCACAGGACUUAGGUUUGGGAGAGGGGUGAGUACUUUUCAUGUCAAACCAAUCCAAAUGCUUUCCAGUUCGUAAACCAAGGUUGCCAGAUGACAUUUGCUGACUGCAAACAUUGGGUCAUUUUCUACUCCAAUUCAUAACUAUAAAGUGAAAAUUGUGGUCUAGGGCUUGAUCCCGCUCUGAUUAAUCUCAGUUUACAUGGGAACAUGACGCACCCCUAGAGGAAACGAUUCCUACCCUACCUUGAUGGGAUCCCCUCCCAGGCGAAACCACCUCAAAGUAACAGUAAAUACUGACUUUGCUCAGACCCUUUCUUACUCAGUCCUUGCUACUCCUUACUUCUAUAUCCUUUCCUUGUUCAUUUUAUAUUUUCUAGCAGCAACAAGAUCUGCUCAAAAGAGAUCUUAAAAACUCUCAGAUGGGGACAUCCUGAGUGGUCUGUGGGUUAGAUUCCUGGUCAGGGAGCUAGGAUCCCACAUGCCUCGGGGCCAAAAAACCAAAACAGAAGCAAUAUUGUAACAAAUUCAGUAACGACUUUAAAAAUGGUCCACAUUAAAAAAAAAAAAAAGGGACUUCCCUGGUGGCACAGUGGGUACGACUCCACACUCCCAAUGCAGGGGGCCCUGUUUCAAUCCCUGGUCAGGGAACUAGAUCCCCCAUGCAUGCCACAACUAUAAGUGCACAUGCCACAACUAAGGAGCCCACCUGCCACAACUAAGACCCAAUGCAACCAAAUAAAUAAAUAUAUUUUUUAAAAAAACCCUCUCAGAUGUAGUUCCUGUCAAUUUGGAAAAUCACACAAAACUUACCUGGUAUUUGGAGAUUAGUGAGGUGCCCUAUAGUUUGCUCUUUUUUAUCCUGUUAGAUUCCAAGACACAGUACCAGGUUUUCAGGGUGUAAUCAAAGCUCUUCCUCAUGGUAUAGGGGUCACAACUCUCAGAAUCACUUUUUUGAGAAUCCUCAGUAAGGUAUGGCACUGUAGGAGACGCUGCUGUUACACAUGCUGCGAUGACCCUGGGAGUUUAUAGACUGUGAAGCAAAACGGAAAUUCGAUUAAGCCUGACAAAUAAUAUUUAAAACUAAUGAACUUAAAUUUACGUUUAGUUACGUAUGGAAUGGACAACAGUAAAAUGCAUGAACUCUUUCUCCCCUGCAUUAAAGAGAGAUUCAGAUUUGCACAAUUGUCCAUAAUAUACAACAUGAUUUUCACUGGGCACAAAGGUAGACCAACAAACUUGAUUCUUCAUCAAGUUGCUUCAGCCAGACUUUUAGUUAUUUUCUCAGAAAGGAUCCCUCACACAAUGGCAGCUUUUGGAUUGAAAUACUUCCAGUAAACUCUUCUAUUUUCUCAGAGUGGCGGGAGGGGAUGUCCCUCAACCCUAUCUGCCUCUUAAGUGGCUUCCAGAGACACAAGAGAGGCCCCAAUCAUCUAUUUUUUAGGACAUCAUUUAAUGGUUUUUCCUGAUAGUGUUCCCUGUAGUGUAUAGUUCUUUGACAUAUAGUCGAAAAUUUCCUGUAUUAUACCUUUGUAUAAAUGCAAUCAUAUCUUAUGGAAUCUGUUUGGUCUAACUUCUUUCACACAAUAAAUCUCUGUAAGACUCAUCCACGUCACUGCAUGUUCUCUGUCUUACUCAUUUUCACUGCUGUUAAGAAUUCUAUUGUCAUAAAUUAUCUAGCCAUUCUCCCGCUGCUGAGCCUUUGGGUUGCUUCCAAUUUGGGACAGGUACAACAAUGAUACUAUACAUGUUUUUGUCUACGUAUUAUAAUGCAUAUAAGCAAAUAUUUUUCUAGGCUAGAAGUUCUCAAAACUUUUGAUCUCAGAACACUUUUUAAACCCUUAAAUGUAAUUGAGAAAUUCAAAGAGGUUUUGUUCAUAUGAAUUAUAUCCAUUGAGUGUUUUUUCCAUUUAAAGAUAAAUCCCUCUGUAAUCUAUAUGCAAUCCAUCUGCAAUUGAUUUUUUCCCUUAUUUUAUUGUGAAGGUUUCAAAUAAACAGCAAAAUAGAAUAAAUUUCAUAAGGGACAGCUAACUGUAAACUUAGCACCUGGCUCUAUCCACCCAUAAAUCCAUCUUAUUUUUUUAUACAUUCAAAGUAAAUUACGCACAUCUGUACACUUCCCUUAAAUAAUUCAGCAUGCUAAUCACGGAGUUCAAUAUUUGUUUAUUUUAUUUAUUUAUUUAUUUAUUUUGGCUUUGCUGUGCGGCUUGCAGGAUCUUAGUUCCCCAACCAGGGAUCGAACCCAGGCCCCCAGUAGCGGAAGCCCAGACUCUUAACCACUGGACUGCCAGGGAAUUCCUAACAGUCCAUCCUUUUGAUAUAAAAUAUAGAUACAGUGAAAUCCUCUAAUUGUAAAUGGAUAUUUACCGAGUUAUAUAGAACAUUACCAUCACCUAGGGAGUCCUCUCAUGCUCCUUCCCAGUCAGCCCUCACCCCCAGUCCUAAAGAAAACAAUGGUUUGAAUUUAUUUUUCCACCAAAUAUUAGGUUACUUAUUACAGAACUCUAUAUAAAUGGAAUUAUUUUGUAUGUACUCUUGUUGGUAAGGCUCCUUUCUCUCAGCAGUUUUGAAAUCCAUCCACAUCAAUGUAAAUCAUGGGUCCAUCUCUCUCUCUCUCUCUCUUUUUAAACAUUUUAUUUAUUUAUUUGACCGCACCAUGCCACUUGCGGGAUCUUAGUUCCCCAACCAGGGACUGAACCUGGGCCCUCGGCAGGGAAAGUGUGGAGUCCUAACAACUGGACCACCAGGGAACUCCUGAGUUCAUCUCUUUUCAUUGCCAAGUGACAAUAUGUUAUUUGGAUACAUCACAUUUGCUUCUCCAUCAUCCUGUAUGUGUAUGUGUGUAUAUCCACAUAUAUGUACAUAUACACACACACAUAUGAUUUUUAUUUUUAAAUUUUAAAUAAUUGUAGGUUCAUAUGAAAUUGCAAAAAAAAAAAAUGUACAGGGAUGUCCCAUGUACUUUUGUGCUGUUUUCUGCAAUGGUAACAGUUUACAAAGAUGUACUAAAAUAUCAAGGAUGGGGCUUCCCUGGUGGCGCAGUGGUUGAGAGUCCGCCUGUCAAUGCAGGGGACACGGGUUUGUGCCCUGGUCCGGGAAGAUCCCACAUGUCGCGGAGCGGCUGGGCCUGUGAACCUUGGCCGCUGAGCCUGCACGUCUGGAUCCUGUGCUCCGCAACGGGAGAGACCACAACAGUGAGAGGCCCGUACCGCAAAAAAAAAAAAAAAAAAACAAAAAAAAAAACAAAAUAUCAAGGAUGUUGCAAAAAACCUGCAAAAUAACCAGGUUUUUUUCAGAUUACACCAGUUUUAUAUGUACUUGUGUGUAUGUGUACCUGUGUAUAGUUCUAUGCAAUACCACCAAAUUCAAGAUGCAGAACUUUCCUGUCACCACAAGUUUCCUUUGUGCUACAAUUAUAGCCUCACCUUACCUAUUCCCCCCGCUGCCACCCCCACAUUCCCAGUCCCAGGCCACCACUAAUCUGUUUUCCACCUCUAUAAUUUGGUUGUGUUAUACAUGUUAUACAAAUGGAAUUUUAUAGUUUGUGACCUUUUAAGCUUGGUUUUUUAAAUUCAGUGUAAUGGACUUAUGAUCUGUGCCAAGUCAUUGCGUGUAUCAACAGUCAUCCCAUGUUACUGCUGUGUAGUAUUCCAUGCUAUGGCUAUAUCAUUAUUCAUUUAACUAUUCUCUUGGUGAAGGAUAACUGAGUUAUUGCCAGUUUGGGACUAUCACAAAUAAAGCUGCCAUUUGUACAGUGUGCAGAUUUUGUAUUAUUAUGUUUUCACUUCUCUGGGACAAAUACUUAGGAAUGCAAUUGCUGCGUCAUAGGGGCAGUGCAUUUUUACUAUUGUAAAAAACUUCCAAACUAUUUCCACAGUGGCUGCAUCAUUUUAUAUUCUCACAAGAAAGGUAUAAAACUUUCACUUUCUCAUGUUCACCAGCAUUUAGCGUCAUCACUAUUUUUUCUCAUUUUAGCCAUUCUGAUAUAUGUAUCUGAUUCUGGUUUUAAUUUGCAUUCCCUAAUGCCUAAUAAUAUUGAAUAUCAUUUUAUGUGCUUAUUUGUCAUCUGUUUCUCUUCUUCAGGUUCUGUCUUUUGUUUAUUUUCCUGUUGGACUGCUGUUGAAUUUUAAGAGCUCUUUAUAUAUUCUAAGAACAAGGCUCUUGCUGAGUAUUCUGUUUGCAAAUAUUUUCUCCUACUCUGUAGCUUGCCUUUUCACCCUCUUCACAGUUCUUCAAUAGAGAAAAAGUUUUUAAAUUUGAGGAAGUUUAACUUUUUUUUCCCAUAGAUUUUACUUCAGUUGCCAUGUCUAAGAUCUCUGCUUAGUCGUAGGUGAGAAAGAUUUUUUUAUGUUUUCUUUAAAAAAAUUUUUUUAAUUACUUUAUUAUUAUUUUAUUUUUAGGAAUUUAAAUGUUUUCUUUUAAAUUUCUUUAAAUUGUUUUACAAUUUAGAUUUAAACCUGUGAUUUAUUUUGAGUUAAUUUUUGUAUAUUGUUUGAGGCUUAGGUUGAGGUCGGUUGUUUUUUUUUUUUCCUAUGAAUGUCCAAUUGCCCCAGCUACAUGUGAAUUGUUGUGUAGGAUAUCAUUCCUCCAUUUAAUUGAUAAUGCAACUGUAAAAAAUCAGUUGGGGGCUUCCCUGGUGGCACAGUGGUUGAGAAUCCGCCUGCCAAAGCAGGGGACACAGGUUUGAGCCCUGGUCCAGGAAGAUCCCUCAUGCCAUGGAGCAACUAAACCCAUACACCACAACUACUGAGCCUGUGCUCUAGAGCCUGUGAGCCACAACUACUGAGCCCGUGUGCCACAACUACUGAAGCCCACAUGUCUAGAGCCCGUGCUCUGCAACAAGAGAAGCCACCACAAAGAGAAGCCCAUGCACCACAAUGAAGAGGAGCCCCCGCUCAACACAACUAGAGAAAACCCACAUGCAACAACGAAGACUCAAUGCAGCCAAAAAUAAAAUUAAUUAAUUUUAAAAAAUCAGUUGGAAUCUAUAUGAAAAAUUAACUGGAAUCCUUAUGAAAUUCAUCUAAAUUGAUUUUUUUUUUACAUAAAGGCUGUUGUUUGAAUAAAUGAUGCACCAUUCACAUACUAUCUUUCUCUACAGGCAUAAUUUGAAUGAAGGUUCUCCUUACCAUGCCCAUGCGUGAUGUUACCUUCAGGAAAUAUCUUUUGUUUUCUUUUUUUUUUUUUGGCCACGCAGCAUGCAGGAUCUUAGUUCCCUGACUAGAGAUUAAACCUGUGACCCCUGCAGUGGAGGCGCAGAGUCACUGGACCGCCAGAGAAAUCCCCAGGAUAUAUUCUUAAGGGAAAAAAUGGAGUAUAAAUUUUACUUCUGGGACUUCCCUGGUGGCGCAGUGGUAAAGAAUCUGCCUGCCAAUGCAGGGGAGACGGGUUCAAGCCCUGGUCCAGGAAGAUCCCACAUGCCGCAGAGCAACUAAGCCCGUGUGCCACAGCUACUGAGCCUGCGCUCUAGAGCCCUUGAGUCACAACUACUGAGCCCGUGUGCCACAACUACUGAAGCCCGUGUGCUUAGAGCCCAUGCUCUGCAACAAGAGAAGCCACUGCAGUGAGAAGCCCGCACACUGCAACAAAGAGCAGCCCUGCUCACCGCAACUAGAGAAAGCCUGCGCACAGCAACAAAGACUCAACACAGCCAAAAAUAAAUAAAUAAAAUAAAUUUAUUAAAAAAAAUUUACUUCCUCAGGUAGAGUGUACAGUAUUCUACAAUUAUUCUUAUGAUUAUGAAGGAAUAAGAAUAUAAAUGUAAAUAAACACACAUGCACAUAUAUACAACUGCAUUUUAAAUACAUAUUUUAAUAUUUUAAAAUAUUUAAGAAUUAACUAGAAUCUUAAAAGAGUGAUGGGGCAGAGACAAAACAGUAUGGAGGAACAGGAAUAGAAUCUAGACAUAUGCAAAUUUACCUAAGUUAUAGUUUUGAAUUUUGGACAAAAAUAUUUUAUAUAUAAUUAUCAAAAAAUAUACCAAAAUGAAAUUAAAACAAUCAAAUUCAAUGACAAAAUUAUGACAAAACAUAUAAAAUUGACCAUAUAAUAAAUCUGUAGUUUAUCCAUACAAAAUUGUAAUAUUUCAAGUAUAUUUUAAAAUAUAAAUUUUGAUUGUAUAUUUCUACUGAAAUACAUGCAUUGAAAAUACCUAUAAAGAUCUUAACAUUUUAUGUGUAAUUUUAUUUUACAUAAAAUAUUGAUAUUAAUAUUUUGGUAUUAAUAAGUAAGUACAGUACACAGUGGAAACUGGGGCUUUGAUCAAAAGGGGAAAAAAGAAAUUGAAAAGAAUUAAAGUAAACACUGUAUAACUUUAAAUUUGCUUAGAAGAAUAAAUAUUAACUUGAUCUGUAUUUGAUUUAAGCCAUGUAUAUUUAUUUUACCUCUUUCCAUUAAACACAUCUACAUAUGA
This is a non-coding RNA of Globicephala melas (long-finned pilot whale), 9091 nucleotides long. The record is from RefSeq and is a predicted model, not a curated record. NCBI's taxonomy places the organism in Eukaryota, Metazoa, Chordata, Mammalia, Artiodactyla, Delphinidae.